GGAACCUUGGUUUGAGGUUGAGGGCCUGUUGGUUUUAAAGCAAUGGAAAUGGGAAAGUGGGUAUGGAGAUAUGGUAUGUUGAGGCUGGGACUGGGAUAGUGGGUAUGGGGGUAUGGUAUGUUGAGGCUGGGACUGGGAUAGUGGGUACGGAGGUAUGGUAUGUUGAGGCUGGGACUGGGAUAGUGGGUAUGGAGGUAUGGUAUGUUGAGGCUGGGACUGGGAUAGUGGGUAUGGAGGUAUGGUAUGUUGAGGCUGGGACUGGGAUAGUGGGUACGGUGGUAUGGUAUGUUGAGGCUGGGACUGGGAUAGUGGGUACGGAGGUAUGGUAUGUUGAGGCUGGGACUGGGAUAGUGGGUAUGGAGGUAUGGUAUGUUGAGGCUGGGACUGGGAUAGUGGGUACGGAGGUAUGGUAUGUUGAGGCUGGGACUGGGAUAGUGGGUAUGGAGGUAUGGUAUGUUGAGGCUGGGACUGGGAUAGUGGGUACGGAGGUAUGGUAUGUUGAGGCUGGGACUGGGAUAGUGGGUAUGGAGGUAUGGUAUGUUGAGGCUGGGACUGGGAUAGUGGGUACAGAG
Long non-coding RNA from Oncorhynchus tshawytscha (Chinook salmon), 572 nucleotides. Lineage: Eukaryota; Metazoa; Chordata; Actinopteri; Salmoniformes; Salmonidae. The record is from Ensembl.